CCCGCAACGAGCGCAACCCUUAUCCUUUGUUGCCAGCGAUUAGGUCGGGAACUCAAAGGAGACUGCCAGUGAUAAACUGGAGGAAGGUGGGGAUGACGUCAAGUCAUCAUGGCCCUUACGACCAGGGCUACACACGUGCUACAAUGGCGCAUACAAAGAGAAGCGACCUCGCGAGAGCAAGCGGACCUCAUAAAGUGCGUCGUAGUCCGGAUUGGAGUCUGCAACUCGACUCCAUGAAGUCGGAAUCGCUAGUAAUCGUGGAUCAGAAUGCCACGGUGAAUACGUUCCCGGGCCUUGUACACACCGCCCGUCACACCAUGGGAGUGGGUUGCAAAAGAAGUAGGUAGCUUAACCUUCGGGAGGGCGCUUACCACUUUGUGAUUCAUGACUGGGGUGAAGUCGUAACAAGGUAACCGUAGGGGAACCUGCGGUUGGAUCACCUCCUUACCUUAAAGAA
RNAcentral lists this ribosomal RNA (457 nucleotides) under Salmonella enterica subsp. enterica serovar Muenchen. Its description in RNAcentral is "bacterial SSU rRNA". It matches the Rfam family "Bacterial small subunit ribosomal RNA", at positions 1086 to 1533 of the family's 1533-position model. RNAcentral also lists the same sequence under 1 other name. Lineage: Bacteria; Pseudomonadati; Pseudomonadota; Gammaproteobacteria; Enterobacterales; Enterobacteriaceae. The record is from RNAcentral.